CAGCGCGUAUCCCCGUAAACACGUAACAGUAACAUCGCGGCAUCUGCGCUGGUGGUUAGAACUCUAGUGUACAUCUUUAAUUUCUGUAGUGUACAUCUUAAUUUCUGAUUGGAUGGCAUAUAAUUUAUCAUGUUCAGUUUUUUGGGUCAUUGUUGUUUCUUCUUUGCGAGACUUGCUGGGUGUGGAAGGAGUUCAUACACAAGUUUUGCAAGUGCUGUUACGUGAUCUCAAAAGGAUAUUCAUUAUUCAUAUUUUUUUGCAUCAUGUUGUUGCUAGUAAAGAUACAACUGAUUAGUUUUGUAAUGUACAUUUGAAAUAAUAGCAGCACAAUUCCCAAUAGUUGUCACUUUAUCUCAUGGUUGGUCACAUAAUGGAGCAAUGACUAAAAUAUUAUUAAGUGAAGCAACCUAGGCUGUGAUAGCCAGCAUGUAUAUUCAGGUGUGAUGGCUUGAAAAAUGGUUAAAGGCAUGCUGAAAAGACUGAGAAUUUAAGUGGAAUGCAAAGUUUCAACAAAAUGCACCAACUUGACUCACAAUUACUCAUUUGUGAGAUAAAUUUGAGGAAGCAGGAACUGUCCAGAGUGCGAACAAGAACUAUUCUGAAAGACUAUGAUCAUCCACAGUUCCACAAGAGAAAGAGAAGUCAUUGAAAGGUUUCAAUAAUCUCCUAGAAAGUCUGUGCGGCAAGGGGAAUUCCAAAGACAAGUGUCCAUCGCAUUUGGAAGCAUAUGCAAUGGAAAAGUUUUAUUCCUAGAUUACUCCAGGCUCUGAAUGAGAAUGAUCAUGACUGGAAAAUUGAAUUUUGUGAGUGGUAUCAAGCAAGAUGCCCAGAGGACAAAAAAUUCCCAUACAAGGAUUUUUGGAGUGAUGAUGCCACUUUUAAGUUAAAUCAUUCAGUUAAUCAUCACAAUUAUACCUACAGGCCAGCUGAGAAUCCUCAUGUGACAGUGGAACACCAUGUGAAACUUAACAGUGGAACACCUUGUGAAUCUACCAGGAGUUACAGUGUAGUGUGGUGUGGUGUGGUUUAUCAAUAUGAGACGUUUCAGGAUGGAGAACGGUAUUUCUAGUUCAAUUUGAGCACCUCCCCACUACCUUGGUGAACACUUGCGGACAGAUCAACAGGAGAAAGAGGCAGUACCCGGUACCCUCCACGCUCACCAGAUUUGACCUCUAUAGAUUUAUUUUUUCAGUGAGGCAGCAUGUGAAGCACAAUGCUUAUAGCACGAGACAAGUUACAAUCAGCGAGUUGAAAGUAGCCAAGUAAACUAAUGUUAAUGUUAAUUCAAUACCAUGCAACAAUUAGCAGUGUGUUGGAUUCCAUCAAUCUGCAUUAUCAGCUGUUCAGUUUGAACACUGCUGAUAAAUAACUACACUCCUGGAAAUGGAAAAAAGAACACAUUGACACCGGUGUGUCAGACCCACCAUACUUGCUCCGGACACUGCGAGAGGGCUGUACAAGCAAUGAUCACACGCACGGCACAGCGGACACACCAGGAACCGCGGUUUUGGCCGUCGAAUGGCGCUAGCUGCGCAGCAUUUGUGCACCGCCGCCGUCAGUGUCAGCCAGUUUGCCGUGGCAUACGGAGCUCCAUCGCAGUCUUUAACACUGGUAGCAUGCCGCGACAGCGUGGACGUGAACCGUAAGUGCAGUUGACGGACUUUGAGCGAGGGCGUAUAGUGGGCAUGCGGGAGGCCGGGUGGACGUACCGCCGAAUUGCUCAACACGUGGGGUAUGAGGUCUCCACAGUACAUCGAUGUUGUCGCCAGUAGUCGGUGGAAGGUGCACGUGCCCGUCGACCUGGGACCGGACCGCAGCGACGCACAGAUGCACGCCAAGACCGUAGGAUCCUACGCAGUGCCGUAGGGGACCACACCGCCACUUCCCAGCAAAUUAGGGACACUGUUGCUCCUGGGGUAUCGGCGAGGACCAUUCGCAACCGUCUCCAUGAAGCUGGGCUACGGUCCCGCACACCGUUAGGCCGUCUUCCGCUCACGCCCCAACAUCGUGCAGCCCGCCUCCAGUGGUGUCGCGACAGGCGUGAAUGGAGGGACGAAUGGAGACGUGUCAUCUUCAGCGAUGAGAGUCGCUUCUGCCUUGGUGCCAAUGAUGGUCGUAUGCGUGUUUGGCGCCGUGCAGGUGAGCGCCACAAUCAGGACUGCAUACGACUGAGGCACACAGGGCCAACACCCGGCAUCAUGGUGUGGGGAGCGAUCUCCUACACCGGCCGUACACCACUGGUGAUCGUCGAGGGGACACUGAAUAGUGCACGGUACAUCCAAACCGUCAUCGAACCCAUCGUUCUACCAUUCCUAGACCGGCAAGGGAACUUGCUGUUCCAACAGGACAAUGCACGUCUGCAUGUAUCCCGUGCCACCCAACGUGCUCUAGAAGGUGUAAGUCAACUACCCUGGCCAGCAAGAUCUCCGGAUCUGUCCCCCAUUGAGCAUGUUUGGGACUGGAUGAAGCGUUGUCUCACACGGUCUGCACGUCCAGCACGAACGCUGGUCCAACUGAGGUGCCAGGUGGAAAUGGCAUGGCAAGCCGUUCCACAGGACUACAUCCAGCAUCUCUACGAUCGUCUCCAUGGGAGAAUAGCAGCCUGCAUUGCUGCGAAAGGUGGAUAUACACUGUACUAGUGCCGACAUUGUGCAUG
Schistocerca nitens (vagrant locust) is the source of this 2656-nucleotide long non-coding RNA. RefSeq lists it as uncharacterized. The transcript has 3 exons. NCBI's taxonomy places the organism in Eukaryota, Metazoa, Arthropoda, Insecta, Orthoptera, Acrididae. The record is from RefSeq and is a predicted model, not a curated record.